This 354-nucleotide unclassified non-coding RNA is filed under the name soil metagenome. Its description in RNAcentral is "partial contains 5.8S ribosomal RNA, internal transcribed spacer 2, and large subunit ribosomal RNA". The stretch from base 1 to 120 matches the Rfam family "5.8S ribosomal RNA", at positions 35 to 154 of the family's 154-position model. The record is from RNAcentral.
GAUGAAGAACGUAGCGAAAUGCGAUAAGUAGUGUGAAUUGCAGAAUUCAGUGAAUCAUCGAAUCUUUGAACGCACAUUGCGCCUCCUGGUAUUCCGGGAGGCAUGCCUGUUCGAGCGUCAUUAAAAUCACUCAAGCUUAGGUUUACCUAUUGCUUGGUCUUGGAGAUGGAAGCCAAUUCAUUGGAAUCCUCUUCGAAAUCCAAUGGCGAAGACCCUUGCUCUCCCAAGUGUAGUAAUAACUUAUGUCACUGAAGGAAGCGAGAAAUCUUCCGCCGUAACCCCCAUAUUUUCUAUGAUUGACCUCGGAUCAGGUAGGGAUACCCGCUGAACUUAAGCAUAUCAAUAAGAGGAGGA